ACACCAAGGACAUACUUACCUAAAAUGUUGUUCUAGAGUCAAAAGACCAGAGUUCAAAUCCCAUCUCGGAUGCUUCCUAUCUUGGUGACCUUGAGCAAAUCAUUUCCCUCAUCCAUAAAAUGAGGGAAUUAGACCGGAUGACUUCCAGGGUCCUUUGCCAAUUACUGAUCUGGGAUCCAAAGCAAAUAUAAAACUUGUGGUAGUCAAGCAUUCAGACUUCAGGUUCUCUGUAAAUAAAUAACUCCCAUAAGGUAUUAAUAUUCUUGACUUUUUCCUGAUCAUCUGAAAAGACAAUCUGCACCCUGGAACCUCACCUGGACACAUUCAAUCACUGAAAUGAAGGGAUCAAAGUUUGCUGCAAUGAAGCAAUAAGUUCACAGAAUCAAAGAUGGAGAAACAGAAGAGACCUAAGAAGUCAAAAAGUACCACUCUCCACUCUCCUCAUUUUGCAGCUGGGAAGCAGACACCCUGCUGUACAGAGGGAACAGAGCAGUGUCACGGCCCCACCAUUUUAAUAGGAACCAGCAGUGGGUAUCAUCAUCACCCCCACCUGUAA
This 556-nucleotide long non-coding RNA is filed under the name Monodelphis domestica (gray short-tailed opossum). RNAcentral's name for it is "lncRNA (ENSMODG00000032961.2)". Lineage: Eukaryota; Metazoa; Chordata; Mammalia; Didelphimorphia; Didelphidae. The record is from RNAcentral.